GACGAACGCUGGCGGCGUGCCUAAUACAUGCAAGUAGAACGCACGGUUUAUACCGUAGCUUGCUACACCAUAGACUGUGAGUUGCGAACGGGUGAGUAACGCGUAGGUAACCUGCCUGGUAGCGGGGGAUAACUAUUGGAAACGAUAGCUAAUACCGCAUAAUAUUAAUUAUUGCAUGAUAAUUAAUUGAAAGGUGCAAUUGCACCACUACCAGAUGGACCUGCGUUGUAUUAGCUAGUAGGUGAGGUAACGGCUCACCUAGGCGACGAUACAUAGCCGACCUGAGAGGGUGAUCGGCCACACUGGGACUGAGACACGGCCCAGACUCCUACGGGAGGCAGCAGUAGGGAAUCUUCGGCAAUGGACGAAAGUCUGACCGAGCAACGCCGCGUGAGUGAAGAAGGUUUUCGGAUCGUAGAGCUCUGUUGUAAGAGAAGAACGGGUGUGAGAGUGGAAAGUUCACACUGUGACGGUAUCUGACCAGAAAGGGACGGCUAACUACGUG
This 505-nucleotide ribosomal RNA is filed under the name uncultured bacterium. RNAcentral describes it as "partial 16S ribosomal RNA". It matches the Rfam family "Bacterial small subunit ribosomal RNA", at positions 28 to 507 of the family's 1533-position model. The record is from RNAcentral.